CAGUGCGGGGAUGCCUACACAUGCAAGUCGAACGAGAAAGUGGAGCAAUCCAUGAGUACAGUGGCGACCGGGUGCACUUCACGUGACCAACCUGCCCUCGAGUGGGGAAUAACUCCGGGAAACCGGAGCUAAUACCGCAUAACAUCGCAAGAUCAAAGCCGCAAGGCGCUUGAGGAGGGGGUCGCGGCUGAUUAGCUAGUUGGUAGGGUAAUGGCCUACCAAGGCGAAGAUCGGUAGCCGGCCUGAGAGGGCGCACGGCCACACUGGAACUGAAACACGGUCCAGACUCCUACGGGAGGCAGCAGUGGGGAAUUUUGCGCAAUGGGGGAAACCCUGACGCAGCAACGCCGCGUGGAGGAUGAAGUCCCUUGGGACGUAAACUCCUUUCGACCGGGACGAUACUGACGGUACCGGAAGAAG
Molecule: ribosomal RNA, 420 nt
Filed under: uncultured bacterium
Lineage: Bacteria
Description: bacterial SSU rRNA
Rfam family: Bacterial small subunit ribosomal RNA
Source: RNAcentral